Molecule: long non-coding RNA, 4513 nt
Organism: Syngnathus typhle (broad-nosed pipefish)
Lineage: Eukaryota; Metazoa; Chordata; Actinopteri; Syngnathiformes; Syngnathidae
Exons: 3
Source: RefSeq, a predicted model, not a curated record
CGGCGCUGAUGAAGACUAUUAUUGCGGCAAAUUGAUUCGGCUCCCGCCGCCGCCGCCGCCGUCAUAAUGGCUGGCGCAGAAACGCUGAUGUAACCAUCAACAGCGUUUCUCCCCGCCUAGAAUGAAAAAGAAAAAAAGAAGCCGGGCCUUCCUCAAAUGACUUUUUCUUCUUCCGCGACCCGCCUAUCAUGAAAUGUUGCCGAUUAUCUCCCGUAUGAAACGCUCAAAUUGAAUUCUGUCUCUUUUUCAUUUAAGGAAUAAUUGAGUCGACAUUUGGGAGCGCUUCAAAGGCGGCGGGGCCUUCGGGCACCCUCGUAAAUUACGCUAUCAAUUCCGGAUUGGCCAUUAGCUCGGUGUCAAGUGCGCACCAGGUGCCCCUCCUCGUCAUCGGCGGCGCCGUCUUCAUCCUACUUUCCUCUUUUCUUUGCUUCGCGGCCCUCUGACACACCAGUCUCGCUGUGUGUGUGUGUGUGUGUGUGUGUGUGUAUGUGUGUGUGUGUGUGUGCGACAUUUUAAUGUAACACCAUGAAGACUUUUAUAUGUUUAGCGCAAAACAUCCAAUGUAUGUAUGGGUCCAUGUUUAACGUGUAAACAAGAAAACACACACACACACACAGUUGCUGGACACUAGAUUAGGGAAGUGUGUGUGUGUGUGUGUGUGUGUGUGUCAUUGGUGGUUUUGUUUCCAUCACCUGAAUGCGCUGUAAUCUGGAGGUGAGGCAUAUUGUCUUGGGCUAAUGCGAGUGUAAAUAUAAGUUAAGUUAUUCAUAGAAGUGCUGAUUGCAGCCGCUCGUCACAGCUAAAUGAGCUGCGCGUUUGUUAUUGUGCAGUAAUUAGGAGCGCCACGGCGCCGCUCCGAGAUGACAGGGUCACUUAAAUAGUUUCUCUCCGUCUCUUUCCGGCCCGAAUUACGGAAGCUGAGGCAAGUGCGAGGCAAUCCUUAUCUCAGGCAAUUAAUGGCGGCCGACUCGUAUUGCAGCACGAUUAUUCAAAGCUUCCGCACAAGUCGGCCUAAAGUCGCGGGAGUGGGUGGGCGUGUCAUCCGGAACUACCGCAAAGAGUCGGCUAGCUCCGUGCUAACGUAUAAUGCGAAAGGUGCUUGACAGGCUAACGGAAAGUAGCGCAGGCCUAGUGGAUGCUAAUGGAUGCUAGUAGACGCUAGCGGACGGCUUUUUGAAGGCAACAAAUGGGACGAGACCCUUGAGAAGUUAAAUGUGGGCGAUUCAAGAACGCAAACGAGGUUCCCCAAAUGAAAAUGUCACCGCGUAAAAUGUCGUCAGUGCGCUUUGGCGGGCGGGCGGGCGGAUGACAAAUCUGCAUUCUUAAAUAAAAAGGCGCAGUAAUAACAAAGCGGCGUGAUUAACGAUAGCAAUUUAUCGUAUCUGCCGGCCGGGCGGGCCGGUCCCCCGGCCGUUGCCGCGACGACGGUUAUCAUAAUUCAUAUCGUAAAUAAGCGCGGCGGGCGGCCAAUCAGGAGGAGCGAGCGUGUCAUCCCAAAUAACCUUUGAUAACAAUUACCAUGGAAGGCCUCCAGUCACAAUGUUAUCUGGCGGCCGUUGUUGCCGUGUCGCCGACAAGGCCAUUACCAUAUAGAUUAGACUAUUUACAAUGCGCGGCGCCCCCCGCCGCCAUUGCCGCCAUCGCCGCCAUCGCCGGCCUGCCUCAAUAGGCGCAGGUGGGAGCAUCUCUGUCAUGUUUUGUGUGAUUGGACUUUUUUCUCAAUUCAACCUUUAUUUAUCCAGGUAAGGCAAUCCUACGUGUGACAUGCGUGUGGAUCACACGUGCGCGCGGACCUCUGCAUAAGCGAAAGCGUGUGUGCGUGCGCUCGAUAUCUUGGGCUGGCACAUUUUGCCGGACGGCUUUGGGAAAACCUUCAUAUUAGCGGCGUGAUAAGUGUCGCAGAUUAGACCGGCAUAUCUUGGCCCAGGUGCUUUUUUUUUUUUUUUUUAUCUGGUGAGAGGAAUCCUCUGAUAUGCGUCCACACACACAACCGGACAUUUGGAUGAGGACUGACCGCAAAAAGUUGUCGGAAGGACAUGUGUUUUUUUUUUUUGCUUUAAUCUCGCUCUUAAUCUGCUCUAAUAUCUCCAUUUUGAUACGACUUUUUAAUUUUUCCCCCAUCUUGUUGGUCCUCCCUGGCGGUGGCCGGCCUGACAGCGUCUUUAUUCCAAGGUAGAUGGCGUCAAGGCAGAUUAAGAGCUCGCCAGCCCACGCGAGAUGUUCCCGCCAAAAAGUACACACGGCAUCUCGCAGACUCGUCGUCUCGGAAAAAGGAAGAGUGGCGUCAUCUCUAUGGCGCCCGCUAAUCCCACAAAGUCCUUCACCUGGUCCUCCUCCUCAGAAAAACUUUGACGUUUUUGCAAAGCUUUUCUGCUCGUCUUUGUGGGCGGAGCCAAAAAAGACAAAACGUCUUUUGCCGGCUGCUCUGCAAGGAGAAAAAAAAACGAGGCCUUAUCAGCGACCGGGCCGAGCACUACGCGAGGACGGACGGAGCUGAAUCGGCAAAGAUUAGGCGCCGCCGUUGGCUGGCUGGAGUUGCGGCGUGUAAGGGGCUUACCACGCACCUUCCAUGAGUUCAGCAAACUCGGAGCAAAGAAAGUAAAGUGGAGCCAGCGGAUGGAUGGAUGGACGGACGGACGGAUGGAUGGCGGCGUUUGUUUGCGCACCUGCGCACGCGGCGUCGGCCUCGUUCCGCCUCCUACGGAAAAAGGCGAUGAAAAGCGGCGGCGGCGACAACGGUGACACAUUUCUUGAAGGUAAGGCACUUUGUCAAGCGCUUAGCGCGUGCGUACACCACGUUGGCAUUAUGAUGCAAAUGAUAAGAGGCGAGCGAGCGCUCCUCCACUUUUGCCGCCGCCGUACCUACAGAGGCUGGUGAUUGUGCCUGCGCCUGCCUGCGCAUCCGUCUCCGUUGCAUCUGGCCUUUGUUUGAGCUGAUUGGAUCUGCCGCGAUCACAUGUUUACCCGCCGCCUUAUCUCUUUGAGAAACCUCCGUCACGGCUAGCGGAGAGUAACGAGCGGGGCUUUUCUUUUUUUUUUUGGCGCGCGGGUGUGUUUUCCUUUUAUUUCCGAGACGGGCGCGCACACACGGGCCUUUUGUGUGUAUAUGCUAAUAGGCCGGCUAACACCCUAUUCACACUGUUUGUUUGGCGAAAUGAUGCAAGUUGCCAGACAUCGCUGCUUUUUGCGCUGAUGCGGACGUUUUUUCCCCCUUCGGCUGGGGGAGGAGGGGGCGGGACGGCAAAUCCGCAAAGGUUUUGUCAUCAAUGCUGGGCUGACAAUGGCGACAAAAACAUUAAAGGGAGAAAAGAUGUGUUUCUGUGUUAAACAAUUAGCGCCGCGGCAUUAGAGGCGAUCAGGCGGGAGACAAAAGCCAGCCGGCACAAAGACACAAACGCAUGCGCCCAGAUGGAGCCCGGCCGACGCCGUCCUCCGCCGGGACCGGCCGACCGCCGUCUCUUUCUGGGUCGGCGUGACGGACGCGCAGCCGCCACCUCUUUGGGUUCGGAAGUCAUCGAGGACGCUUCCAAAGGGGGAACGUUUAAGUUUGCCUUGUGUGGCCCAGCUACCCCCGUCCGUUCGUCCGUCUGUCCAUCCAUAUGUGAGAGACUGGACACCCCCCUCCCUCCCGCCCCCCUCCACGUGAAUGGCUGCAGUGUUUGCGCGCCACUUAACCCGCUGACCGGCGGCGGAACGAGCCCCUCGCAGCGGGCCGCUCGGCUCGCGGCCCCCCACCGCCGGCGCGGUGUCCGUUACGGCCCCGGGAGAGGCACGGACCAAAAAGCGCAUGUGCUUGUCAUCAUAUCUGCAUUGUCAACUUUUCCUCCUUGAUUGACGCUUGGCUUUGAAGUCCACGACGAUUCUUCCGUUCUCCAGCAGAAGCGAAGAGCCCAGAAGCGCCGUGUUUUGCUUUGGCGCUAUUUUCUCAGCCAGCGUAGGCGGCAAUGGGGGCAAAGCUCCGUGUUUGGACUCGCCGUCUCGGUCCCGGACGCCGCCUGCCUUCGCCUGCAUGAGGGAGGACUUGAAAGGCAGGAAGCGUUUGAUUCCUUCACCAAAAGAAGCUUCCAUCAAAAGCGCUGAGUGACGCCACCGCCCCCCCCCCCCCUUCCCAUUUCAUUCACACACACGCCUUACCUGUGGCGGCAGGUGUUGCCUUGGUGCCGCAAUGACGGAGGAGCUUCCUGUCAAUACGCCAAGCACCUCCGCUAAGGCCCCUCGUUUGCAGGGAAGAAGGCAAUGUUUUGUUUCCCGUGCCAAACAGUUAGCAUGUUGCUAACGUGGAGAAUUUUCAUCUUGCAGCUGUUGGCUGUUGUUUUGCUUGCAAGGAAGCCGGCCGGCCGGCCGAGCCAUGCAGCCAUGCAGCCGCUCUCGGGGCAGCAUGCUGGAAUUGAAAUAUUUUCUGUCUUCAACUUGAGUAUCUACUUCUCUGGCACCUUUUUUUCUCUUUUACUUUCUGCAAUUUUUUAAAGCUCCCUGGGGAAAUGUCAUUCAUGACCAAAGUUAGCAAGGAAGU